UACAGAGGUGGCAAGCGUUGUUCGGAAUUACUGGGCGUAAAGGGCGCGUAGGCGGUUUCGUAAGUCCCGUGUGAAAGCCCCCGGCUCAACUGGGGAACUGCACGGGAAACUGCGAGGCUUGAGUUCGGGAGAGGGAAGCGGAAUUCCGGGUGUAGCGGUGAAAUGCGUAGAUAUCCGGAGGAACACCGGUGGCGAAGGCGGCUUCCUGGACCGACACUGACGCUGAGGCGCGAAAGCGUGGGGAGCAAACAGG
RNAcentral lists this ribosomal RNA (253 nucleotides) under uncultured bacterium. Its description in RNAcentral is "partial 16S ribosomal RNA". It matches the Rfam family "Bacterial small subunit ribosomal RNA", at positions 524 to 776 of the family's 1533-position model. The record is from RNAcentral.